GAUGAACGCUGGCGGCGUGCCUAAUACAUGCAAGUCGAGCGAACAGACGAGGAGCUUGCUCCUCUGACGUUAGCGGCGGACGGGUGAGUAACACGUGGAUAACCUACCUAUAAGACUGGGAUAACUUCGGGAAACCGGAGCUAAUACCGGAUAAUAUAUUGAACCGCAUGGUUCAAUAGUGAAAGACGGUUUUGCUGUCACUUAUAGAUGGAUCCGCGCCGCAUUAGCUAGUUGGUAAGGUAACGGCUUACCAAGGCAACGAUGCGUAGCCGACCUGAGAGGGUGAUCGGCCACACUGGAACUGAGACACGGUCCAGACUCCUACGGGAGGCAGCAGUAGGGAAUCUUCCGCAAUGGGCGAAAGCCUGACGGAGCAACGCCGCGUGAGUGAUGAAGGUCUUCGGAUCGUAAAACUCUGUUAUUAGGGAAGAACAAAUGUGGAAGUAACUAUGGACGUCUUGACGGUACCUAAUCAGAAAGCCACGGCUAACUACGUG
This 497-nucleotide ribosomal RNA is filed under the name uncultured bacterium. RNAcentral's name for it is "partial 16S ribosomal RNA". It matches the Rfam family "Bacterial small subunit ribosomal RNA", at positions 28 to 507 of the family's 1533-position model. The record is from RNAcentral.